UUCUACUAAUUGAAGCCGGUGAGUUGGUGUAUGCUUGAAGUGAGUCUGGUUCUUGCUUCAAUUCCCCCUGUUUCACCUCCAGAUCUACUCAUCGGGAGAUGGAUUCCUUGCAUUGAGAGGCUGGUCUGACGCUGUUGUUGAUAAUCAUCCAUACCUAUGCUGGACGUGGACGAAGUACACACAUGUACACGCAGCUUUUUUUUGAUCCGUUGCAUAUCAAAGCUUCAUUCAGACGAUGGACUGUCUUGCUCUACUUCGAAAUCGAAACAGGUGAGUCGUGUCCUUUUUAGGAUUGAACCAACUGAAGUGAAACCAAGAUACAGUUUCUGCAGCACUUAUGAGCAAAUUGUACAGGGGAAAGACAGGCGGCUGCUGCAGAACAAGGGAAGGAGUAGCAGCUAUCUGCUGUUUCAGUUGUUUAUGUGCGCUGAAGAUUGUUCGCACCCGUACCCUGAAGAAAGAAGGCAAAAUAAUCCAUAACUAUUUCUUGAUAAUAAAGUACAUAGACAUAGAUAUAUAGCUCAUUGGCUCCAUCACGUUAGUUUGCUAAAUAAGUUAUAUGGAUCCUUGCAGACACAAGAUAGAUUCUAGAUAUACCUGGGAUAUGUUCAUCCGGGUUCAGUUAAUAAGUGCAUUAGUCAACAUUGUGGUGCAAUGACAGAAUCUGUUGUCCACAACUUC
This is a long non-coding RNA of Triticum dicoccoides, 681 nucleotides long. RefSeq lists it as uncharacterized. The transcript has 3 exons. Lineage: Eukaryota; Viridiplantae; Streptophyta; Magnoliopsida; Poales; Poaceae. The record is from RefSeq and is a predicted model, not a curated record.